Molecule: ribosomal RNA, 404 nt
Filed under: Actinomycetes bacterium
Lineage: Bacteria; Bacillati; Actinomycetota; Actinomycetes
Description: Actinobacteria bacterium partial 16S ribosomal RNA
Rfam family: Bacterial small subunit ribosomal RNA
Source: RNAcentral
UGGGGAAUAUUGGACAAUGGGCGCAAGCCUGAUCCAGCCAUGCCGCGUGAGUGAUGAAGGCCCUAGGGUUGUAAAGCUCAUUCACCGGUGAAGAUAAUGACGGUAACCGGAGAAGAAGCCCCGGCUAACUUCGUGCCAGCAGCCGCGGUAAUACGAAGGGGGCUAGCGUUGUUCGGAUUUACUGGGCGUAAAGCGCACGUAGGCGGACUAUUAAGUCAGGGGUGAAAUCCCGGGGCUCAACCCCGGAACUGCCUUUGAUACUGGUAGUCUUGAGUUCGAGAGAGGUGAGUGGAAUUCCGAGUGUAGAGGUGAAAUUCGUAGAUAUUCGGAGGAACACCAGUGGCGAAGGCGGCUCACUGGCUCGAUACUGACGCUGAGGUGCGAAAGCGUGGGGAGCAAACAGG